RNAcentral lists this ribosomal RNA (292 nucleotides) under uncultured bacterium. Its description in RNAcentral is "partial 16S ribosomal RNA". It matches the Rfam family "Bacterial small subunit ribosomal RNA", at positions 505 to 796 of the family's 1533-position model. The record is from RNAcentral.
GUGUCAGCCGCCGCGGUAAUACGUAGGGUGCAAGCGUUAAUCGGAAUUACUGGGCGUAAAGCGUGCGCAGGCGGUUUUGUAAGACUGUCGUGAAAUCCCCGGGCUCAACCUGGGAAUGGCGAUGGUGACUGCAAGGCUAGAGUUUGGCAGAGGGGGGUAGAAUUCCACGUGUAGCAGUGAAAUGCGUAGAUAUGUGGAGGAACACCGAUGGCGAAGGCAGCCCCCUGGGUCAAAACUGACGCUCAUGCACGAAAGCGUGGGGAGCAAACAGGAUUAGAUACCCUGGUAGUCC